RNAcentral lists this ribosomal RNA (253 nucleotides) under uncultured bacterium. RNAcentral describes it as "partial 16S ribosomal RNA". It matches the Rfam family "Bacterial small subunit ribosomal RNA", at positions 524 to 776 of the family's 1533-position model. The record is from RNAcentral.
UACGUAGGGUGCGAGCGUUAAUCGGAAUUACUGGGCGUAAAGCGUGCGCAGGCGGUUCUCCAAGUCCGUUGUGAAAGCCCCGGGCUCAACCUGGGAAUGGCAGUGGAAACUAGGGGACUGGAAUCUGGCAGAGGGGGGUGGAAUGCCGCGUGUAGCAGUGAAAUGCGUAGAGAUGCGGCGGAACACCGAUGGUGAAGGCAGCCCCCUGGGCUGAGAUUGACGCUCAGGCACGAAAGCGUGGGGAGCAAACAGG